UUUUGUAAUCUCUUAAUGCUAUUAUGGUAAUCCUGAUGACUUUUCUCGCGUUUUCCCUUCACAUGCAUAUUUAACGGUGAAUGUGAACAAUUGAAGACAAUGGCUUUGGCAGAAGGCAAGCUACGAAUUGAGCUUGUUUGGUUGUUACCCGCACAAGAAAUACAAUAGGCCUUGAGGGUUUGGAGUUGACUGCAGCAAUAUUACUUCUACCAUCCCUGUUAAAAGAAGAUUCGUCAACUUUAUUUGUGAUAGAUCAGGACCCAGCCUUCCCAACCCCUGUGAUUUGUUUUACAUGACUGUACAGAGGGAAAUCCUAUGUCAUACGAGAAAGUGACCGUCGUAAUGGAUGGCCAGUCCAUGCUAACUGAUGAUUUGAAUCUCUUGCUUUGGGGGCUGUCUGUUUUUUCUUUAUAUUAUAUAUUUGGUAUUGAAUAUCCAAAGCAGACGAGGAAGACAAUGAACUUUUUGGCGGCAUUUGUCUUCAAACUUAAUACUUUAAAGACAAUUUGCCUUAAAAUACUAUAUAAUGCUGUUUCGGCCUCUGUUUAGAAAAUAAACACAUAAAGUGACCAUUAAGGUUCUGUUCUGAAAGUGCUGCAGAAAUGUUUAGUGUUUUAAGUUUGUUUUUACUGGAGUUUA
Acipenser ruthenus (sterlet) is the source of this 639-nucleotide long non-coding RNA. RefSeq lists it as uncharacterized. The transcript is spliced from 4 exons. The record is from RefSeq and is a predicted model, not a curated record. NCBI's taxonomy places the organism in Eukaryota, Metazoa, Chordata, Actinopteri, Acipenseriformes, Acipenseridae.